RNAcentral lists this ribosomal RNA (494 nucleotides) under uncultured soil bacterium. Its description in RNAcentral is "bacterial SSU rRNA". It matches the Rfam family "Bacterial small subunit ribosomal RNA", at positions 26 to 518 of the family's 1533-position model. The record is from RNAcentral.
AGGACGAACGCUGGCGGCGUGCUUAACACAUGCAAGUCGAGCGGUAAGGCCCUUUCGGGGGUACACGAGCGGCGAACGGGUGAGUAACACGUGAGUAAUCUGCCCUCCACUUGGGGAUAAGCUUCGGAAACGGGGUCUAAUACCUGAUACGACAACUACCUGCAUGGGUUGGUUGUGGAAAGUUUUUCGGUGGGGGAUGUGCUCGCGGCCUAUCAGCUUGUUGGUGGGGUAAUGGCCUACCAAGGCUUCGACGGGUAGCCGGCCUGAGAGGGUGACCGGCCACACUGGGACUGAGACACGGCCCAGACUCCUACGGGAGGCAGCAGUGGGGAAUUUGGACAAUGGGCGCAAGCCUGAUCCAGCAAUGCCGCGUGCAGGAUGAAGGCCUUCGGUUGUAACUGUCUUUGUACGGAACGAAACGUUCUCUCUAAUACGAGGGCUAAGUGACGGUAACCGUAAGAAUAAGCACCGGCUAACUACGUGCCAGCAGCCGC